This 253-nucleotide ribosomal RNA is filed under the name uncultured bacterium. Its description in RNAcentral is "partial 16S ribosomal RNA". It matches the Rfam family "Bacterial small subunit ribosomal RNA", at positions 524 to 776 of the family's 1533-position model. The record is from RNAcentral.
UACGUAGGUGGCAAGCGUUGUCCGGAUUUAUUGGGUUUAAAGGGUGCGUAGGCGGUCCUGUAAGUCAGUUGUGAAAUCCGGCAGCUUAACUGUCGAGGUGCAAUUGAUACUGCAGGACUUGAGUACAGACGAGGUAGGCGGAAUUGACGGUGUAGCGGUGAAAUGCUUAGAUAUCGUCAAGAACACCGAUAGCGAAGGCAGCUUACUAGACAGUAACUGACGCUGAUGCACGAAAGUGUGGGGAGCAAACAGG